AUACUUACUUGGCAGGGGGAAUACCAUGAUCACGAAGGUGGUUUACACAGGCUGAGGAUCUUCCAUUGCACACUUCAUUUGGCUUGCCUGAUGCUGCUGAAGACAUCUUUCAAUAAUCUUAACUACAAUCAAUUUCUCCAGUUGCUGGUUGUGUGUGCCUAUGCAUAUA
This is a small nuclear RNA of Protopterus annectens (West African lungfish), 169 nucleotides long. RefSeq annotates it as U1 spliceosomal RNA. The record is from RefSeq and is a predicted model, not a curated record. Lineage: Eukaryota; Metazoa; Chordata; Ceratodontiformes; Protopteridae. The transcript has a single exon.